Molecule: long non-coding RNA, 2795 nt
Organism: Physeter macrocephalus (sperm whale)
Lineage: Eukaryota; Metazoa; Chordata; Mammalia; Artiodactyla; Physeteridae
Exons: 3
Source: RefSeq, a predicted model, not a curated record
ACUCUCACAUUGUGCGCUUUUUUUUUUUUUGUCGACAGUUACGGCGACCACGAAGGGAUCCGGAGUGGACUUCUCUCCUUCACCUGAACUCUGCGAGGAACUGGAGCCUUGGUACCAGCAGCGGCCCCUUGCACUCAUCUGCCUCCUUAGAGAGCCCAGAUGAAUUUGGGUCAACAUCGGGGAACUAGAUCCCGCAUGCCACAACUAAGACCCAGCACAGCCAGCCCAAUGGGCCCUUGCUGACUUGGUCCCGACCUUGGCUGGACCGCAUUCCCACCCCUUGCCACGCCCCCAGCAACAUGCAGCUGCCCAGCUCAGAGAGCAAGCACCUGGGAUGCUCUGGAAUAGCAGCUCACUGGCUGACCCCCACUCAUCCUACAGUGGACGUCACGCUCUCUCCAGCUUUCCUCUCCUGACCUGCCAGUUAUGUGUGUCCCCCAGCAGAGGCUGUUCUGUUUUCUCUCUCCCUCAUUAAACUGAGUUCUGUGCCAAGGGCAAUGACGGCAUACAGAAGGGGUCAAGGAAUAUUUGAAUGAAUGAACGAAAAAAUGAAUGAAGGGGAAGCUCCAGGCAAGCUGCUGUGGCCAUCCCAGAGCUGUGCCCUGCCCAGGAGGUGGGGGUGGGGUGCCGAUGGAGGGGUGUAGAUUUUCAAGGGAGGUUCCAGCUGGGCUCAGCCAGGCCACAGCCCCAAGCUGACUGGCGCAUGACUCACAGGCCCCAAACAGAGCUUUCAUAACCCUCCCUGGCCUUUCUGGAUCUGCCUUCUGAUCAGGCCUUCAGGCUAAUACCUCUCCGGUUUCUCUCUUGCUCCAGCCAGUCUCUCCCUGUGAACUUGAACUUUGCAAGAGCCCCGCUGGCUUUAAAGGACCAGCUUAAGAUUCUUGGGCUUUAUUGUGUCUUCUUUCCCAAGGAAUUCUUGCUCUGUUUACAGAAAGGAAAAAAAAAUUGCCACCCACGCUGGUUAAAGCUCACCCUGAUUUUCUGAAAUCUCCUCUCCACCCACCCCUCAUUUGGUAUCUGUCUCCUCGUUGCUGGCGUGGUCCCCACCCCACCCCAGGACUCCCAGGCCAUACGGAGACCCCUGGGUGGGGGAAUGACAGCCCCAAAGCUUUGUUUACACUGCCUGCCUGGCCACAGCCCUAUGGGGCCACCAGGGGCUUGCUCUGAUCCUGGGAACUACUGAGAACAGAAAUCCACAUAAAUUGGGUUGGGUCCCCCACCUCUCCUUCCCUGCCCUCUCUUCCAUCAGUAGAUCCCCUCCCCCUUUUGCAGACGUUUCCCCUCCUCCCAGCCAAACAGAUUCAUUUGCAGAAUGGCCUCCUCUUGUCCUCGUGUCUUCCUGUCAGCGAUGGGCAGUGCCUCCUGGAGCUCACAGCCUUCUCCUUUGUCCAGUUACUUUUAAAAUAAUAAACUUUUAAUUUUAGAAUAAUUUUUAGAUUUCCAGAAAUGUUACAAAGAUCACAAAGAGAGUUAUCUUACACAUUUCACCAGUUUCCUUUUUGAUAACAUCUUACAUAACUACGGCACAUUUGUCCAAAUGAGGAAAACAACAGUGGCACAAAACUAUUCACUAAACUCCACACUUUAUCCAAUUCACUAGUUUUUCUACCAAUGUCCUUUUUCCAUUCCAGGAUCCAAUCCAGAGAACCACAUUGCAUUUAGUCAUAUGCUAUUUGUGAUGAGGAAAUUAUAAGUAUCUCUGUUUUACAGACGAAGGAAGAAGAGAUCGGAGGAGUAAGUGACUUGCUAGGCAGCAAAAGCAGUGGAGGAAAGGGAUUUAGAGCUGGAAGCCACUCGUGGUGCGACCUGAGCCUUAGUUUCCUUGUCUGAAGGGUGGGAUCACAGGUAAUUACUUCAUGGCAGGAGCAAGGACUAAAAGAGACCAUGUCUAUGUGAAACCAUGCAACUCAGAUUGGGACUUGAACCCACGUGCUGGUGUAACAGGGAAGAGCCACAUCUGACUUCAUGUUGGAUCUGUUUCUUUCACUUUAACCUUUGUUUCCCAUUGCUUUUGUUCACUACGAGGAUACUGUCUAUACAAUAUGGCCUGCCUCAGGGAACCCUGCCCCUCUACCUGAAUGUUAAACCAAAGUGCCUUUGUUCAGGGAAACAUCCUGACCCUGUCUACCUGUGGAUGGCUGCAAAAAGAAGAAAUUGGGACUUCCCUGGUGGUCCAGUGGUAAAGAAUCCGCCUUCCGAUGCAGUGGACGGACGUGGGUUCGAUCCCUGGUUGGGGAACUAAGAUCCCACAUGCCGCGGGGCAACUAAGCCCACAUGCCACAACUACUGAGCCCGCGUGCCUCAACUAGAGAGAAAACAACCCCGCACGCCACAACUAGAGAGAAGCCCGCGCUGCAAUGAAAGAUCCCGAGUGACUCAACUAAGACCUGAUGCAGCCAAAUAUAAAAAUAAAAUAAAUAAAAAUAAAAUAAAAUAUUUUUUAAAAAGAAAGAAGAAAUGAACACAUCCCCUCCCUGAGGCUGGCCAUUCCAGGGUACAUUUGCAAAUCUUAUGGCCUUUUUACUUGACUUCCUCAUCUCCUCCCCUUCUCUGUUCUGUAAAAGAAACUGGCAUCCAAACCACGUGAAGAUGGUUCUUUGGAGACAUUAGUUUGCCAUCUUCUCAUUCAGCCGGCUUUCCGAAUAAAGUCGUUAUUCCUUGCCUCAAGGCCUCGUCUCUGAUUUAUUGGGGGUGAGCAGAGCAAGCUUGGACUCGGUAAUACUGGGACUCGAACCCAACCAAAACCCAGAUUGGGACUUGAACCCACGUUCCUUUUUUUUUUUGCUCUACGCGGG